CGGUAAUACGUAGGUGGCGAGCGUUGUCCGGAUUUAUUGGGCGUAAAGCGAGCGCAGGCGGUUUUUUAAGUCUGAUGUGAAAGCUUUCGGCUCAACCGAAGAAGUGCAUCGGAAACUGGGAAACUUGAGUGCAGAAGAGGACAGUGGAACUCCAUGUGUAGCGGUGAAAUGCGUAGAUAUAUGGAAGAACACCAGUGGCGAAGGCGGCUGUCUGGUCUGUAACUGACGCUGAGGCUCGAAAGUAUGGGUAGCAAACAGGAUUAGAUACCCUGGUAGUCCAUACCGUAAACGAUGAAUGCUAAGUGUUGGAGGGUUUCCGCCCUUCAGUGCUGCAGCUAACGCAUUAAGCAUUCCGCCUGGGGAGUACGGCCGCAAGGCUGAAACUCAAAGGAAUUGACGGGGGCCCGCACAAGCGGUGGAGCAUGUGGUUUAAUUCGAAGCUACGCGAAGAACCUUACCAGGUCUUGACAUACUAUGCAAAUCUAAGAGAUUAGACGUUCCCUUCGGGGACAUGGAUACAGGUGGUGCAUGGUUGUCGUCAGCUCGUGUCGUGAGAUGUUGGGUUAAGUCCCGCAACGAGCGCAACCCUUAUUAUCAGUUGCCAGCAUUAAGUUGGGCACUCUGGUGAGACUGCCGGUGACAAACCGGAGGAAGGUGGGGAUGACGUCAAAUCAUCAUGCCCCUUAUGACCUGGGCUACACACGUGCUACAAUGGAUGGUACAACGAGUUGCGAACUCGCGAGAGUAAGCUAAUCUCUUAAAGCCAUUCUCAGUUCGGAUUGUAGGCUGCAACUCGCCUACAUGAAGUCGGAAUCGCUAGUAAUCGCGGAUCAGCAUGCCGCGGUGAAUACGUUCCCGGGCCUUGUACACACCGCCCGUCACACCAUGAGAGUUUGUAACACCCAAAGUCGGUGGGGUAACC
Molecule: ribosomal RNA, 922 nt
Filed under: Lactiplantibacillus pentosus
Lineage: Bacteria; Bacillati; Bacillota; Bacilli; Lactobacillales; Lactobacillaceae
Description: bacterial SSU rRNA
Rfam family: Bacterial small subunit ribosomal RNA
Source: RNAcentral